This 498-nucleotide ribosomal RNA is filed under the name uncultured bacterium. Its description in RNAcentral is "partial 16S ribosomal RNA". It matches the Rfam family "Bacterial small subunit ribosomal RNA", at positions 30 to 523 of the family's 1533-position model. The record is from RNAcentral.
AUUGAACGCUGGCGGCAUGCCUUACACAUGCAAGUCGAACGGUAGCGGGCCUUCGGGUGCCGACGAGUGGCGAACGGGUGAGUAAUGUAUCGGAACGUACCUUUCAGUGGGGGAUAACGUAGCUAAAGUUGCGCUAAUACCGCAUAUUCUGUGAGCAGGAAAGCAGGGGAUCGCAAGACCUUGAGCUGAUGGAGCGGCCGAUAUCCGAUUAGCGAGUGGGUGAGGUAAAGGCUUACCAAGGCGACGAUCUGUAGCGGGUCUGGGAGGAUGAUCCGCCACACUGGAACUGAGACACGGUCCAGACUCCUACGGGAGGCAGCAGUGGGGAAUUUUGGACAAUGGGGGCAACCCUGAUCCAGCCAUGCCGCGUGAGUGAAGAAGGCCUUCGGGUUGUAAAGCUCUUUCGGCCGGGAAGAAAUCGUAUCAGCUAAUACCUGGUGCGGAUGACGGUACCGGCAUAAGAAGCACCGGCUAACUACGUGCCAGCCGCCGCAGUAA